This 253-nucleotide ribosomal RNA is filed under the name uncultured bacterium. Its description in RNAcentral is "partial 16S ribosomal RNA". It matches the Rfam family "Bacterial small subunit ribosomal RNA", at positions 524 to 776 of the family's 1533-position model. The record is from RNAcentral.
UACGAAGGGGGCUAGCGUUGUUCGGAAUCACUGGGCGUAAAGGGCGCGUAGGCGGCUUUAUAAGUCGGGGGUGAAAGCCUGUGGCUCAACCACAGAAUUGCCUUCGAUACUGUAGAGCUUGAGACCGGAAGAGGUAAGUGGAACUGCGAGUGUAGAGGUGAAAUUCGUAGAUAUUAGCUAGAACACCAGUGGCGAAGGCGGCCAACUGGUCCGGAACUGACGCUGAGGUGCGAAAGCGUGGGGAGCAAACAGG